RNAcentral lists this ribosomal RNA (253 nucleotides) under uncultured bacterium. Its description in RNAcentral is "partial 16S ribosomal RNA". It matches the Rfam family "Bacterial small subunit ribosomal RNA", at positions 524 to 776 of the family's 1533-position model. The record is from RNAcentral.
UACGGAGGGUGCAAGCGUUAUCCGGAUUUACUGGGUUUAAAGGGCGCGUAGGCGGCCUGGCAAGUGGAUGGUGAAAUCCCUCGGCUUAACCGAGGAACUGCCAUCCAGACUGCUUGGCUUGAGACCGAGAGAGGUGAGUGGAAUUCCCAGUGUAGCGGUGAAAUGCGUAGAUAUUGGGAGGAACACCAGUGGCGAAGGCGGCUCACUGGACCGGUACUGACGCUGAGGCGCGAAAGCGUGGGGAGCAAACGGG